GGAUCACGCCCCGGACCGAAGGCAGCGCUAAACCGCUGAGCCACCCAGGCUGCCCCAAAAAAAUAGGUUUCCUACAAGAAGAGAUUACUCCAGAGUUUGUAAAGAGGAAUGAUCCUUGUACCAGAUCCUGGAGAAGAGCACUCCUCUGAAGGUCAUGGGACAUCCAGGGCUGUUUGUCAGAUGUCAGGUGGGCUAUGAUGCCUGCAGCAAAAUAGCUGACUUCCAUUUCUUUGCUGUGGAGCAAGUUGCUAAUAUGUUUCACCACAUCUUCGGUCACCAGCUUGGAAGAGAGUUCUCUAACUUCAGCUAUGUUGUUCUACAGGUCAGAUGGAGCAGGAAAUAUCAGGGAUAGGGAAGGAAGAGAGAAUCAGACACUGGCUCCUCUGCCUCUUCUACUGCUUAGCUCAGAUACAGUCAGAACACUUAGUCCCAUCCUCCUCCCUCUCAAUUUAGCCUAUUACCCCCACAAUCCCACCCCCUGAUGAUGAGGAUCAUCACAAAUCACUGAGUAAGCACUUACUAAGUGCCAGGCACUGUACUAGAUAGACAAAAAAGUCUUUUUAUCUGCCUAUCUCAUUUAAUCUUUUUAAAAAAGAUUUAUUUGAGAGAGAGAGCAUAGGAGUGUGCACAGUGGGGAGAGGCAGAGGGAGAGUCUUAAGCAGACUUCAUGCUGAGCUCGAUCCCAUGACCCUGAGAUCACUACCUGAGCUGAAACAGACACUCAUCUGACCUGAGCGUCAGAUGCUCAACUGACUGUGCCAUCUGGGCACCCCUCAUUUAAUUUUUAACAUAGUUGUACAAAUAAGUAAGUCACUCAGCAAGACUUAACUUGUCAUUCAGUGAACUUGUCAGGUUCAUAUUGCUAAUAACUGGCUGAACUAGAAUAAAAUCCAGGUCUGACUCAAAUACUUAAAAGUUCCUCGAGCCUACUAUAGGUUACAUUAACUUGAAAUUUAAUAGUAACAGUGAAAGGCAAGUGGUAUUUUAUUUUAUAUAUAUAUAUAUUAGUUUUCUAUGCUGUUUAACAAACUACCACAAACUCGGUGGCUUAAAACAUUUUUUUCUCUCACAGUUUCUGUGGUUUAGGAGUUCAUUCAUGGCUUAGUUGGCUCCUCUACUCUGAGGUCUCACAAAGUGCUGACUGGGUUGCAUUCUCAUCUGGGGGCUCCACUGGAGGGAAACCUACUUCCAAGCACACUCAAACUGUCGGCAAAAUUCAUUUCCUUGCAGCUCCAAGACUGAGGGUUUCAGUUUCUUGGUGGAGGCCACCCUUAGCUCCUAGACACUGCCCAUAGUUCCUUUCAAUGUGAGCUUCUCCCUACUCCAACCACUUAUUUCAUGGCAGCUUAACUUUUUCAAAGAUAGUAAAGAAGAGUCUCUCUCUAGCAUGUCUACUGCAAGAGAGAUUAAUACAAUAGUCCCCUCUUACCUGUGGGGGACAUGUUCUAAAACCCCAGUGGAUAUGCCUGAAACUGCAGAUAGUACCAAACUCUCUAUAUAUACUAUGUUUUUUUCUACACAUACAUACCUAUGGUAAAGUUUAAUUUAUAAAUUAGUCACAGUAAGAAAUUAACAACAAUAACUAAAGAACAAAGAUAAUAUGUUGUAAUAAGUUAUAUGAAUGUGGUCUCUCUCAGAAUAACUUAUUCUACUGUACUCACCCUUCUUCUGCUUGUGAUGAGAUGAUAAAAUGCCUAUAUGACAAGAUAAAGAGGUGGAUGACGUAGGCAUGUGACAUAGCAUUAGGCUACUAGUGACCUUCUGACCAAUCCUCAAGAGGAUCAUCUGCUUCCAGAUUGCAGGUAACUAAAACCUGCUGAGCAGAACCUGACACUAGGCUCAAUCUCAUGCCCCUGAGAUCAUGACUGAAGAGCAGGAUACUUAACCAACUAUGCCACCCAGGUGUCCCAAAGGAAUUUCUAAAAAACUGACUGCCUUGAUAAAAAGGAAGUAAAGUGGUUAUUAUCAAAGGGUCUAGAGCCAGGAUGCCUGAUUCUGCCUCCUUUACCUAGGUAACACAGGGUAAACGGCCCUUCUGUGCCUCAGAUUCUUGUCUAUAAAAUAUAACUAAGAAUGUAUGGUAGGGUAUAGAACAUAACACAAUUUUUCCUAAUGCUGUUUGACUUAGUCAUGGGAUUUCCCUGCUCCUCCCAUCGAGGGAUGGCCACUUCCUUUAAUCUGGGCUUAACCAUGGGCAUAUAAUAAGGAAUAUAUAUUUGGUCUUUGUCCCCUGCUCUUGAAAGACAACUCUUAAGUCCCUUGGAAUUUACCAAGUGAUAGGAGUACCUUUGUUCUAAUGAGGGAACUCUUGACAGGCGACUAAACAGCUUCAGGAUGAGGAAGCCUGGGACUUUCAGGGCCACCUCAUAACCUCUGGGACAUGGGAGAGGAGCUGAAGACUGAAUUAAUAAUCAAUUGUGCCUAUGUGAUGAAACCCUACAUGAUGGGUUUGGAGAACUUCUGAGUUGGUGAACGUAUCAAGGCGCUGGGAGGGUGGUGUAUCCAGGGAAAAUAUGGAAGCUUUGCAUGUACCCAUCCUUCCUUGCCUUAUACAUUUCUUCCAUUUCAUUGUUUCUGAGUUGUAUCCUUUAUUAUCCCUUAUAAUAAACUGAUAAUAGCAAGUAAA
This is a long non-coding RNA of Canis lupus familiaris (dog), 2626 nucleotides long. RefSeq lists it as uncharacterized. Lineage: Eukaryota; Metazoa; Chordata; Mammalia; Carnivora; Canidae. The record is from RefSeq and is a predicted model, not a curated record. The transcript is spliced from 2 exons.